RNAcentral lists this long non-coding RNA (1003 nucleotides) under Anas platyrhynchos platyrhynchos (common mallard). RNAcentral's name for it is "lncRNA (ENSAPLG00000020606.1)". The record is from RNAcentral. Lineage: Eukaryota; Metazoa; Chordata; Aves; Anseriformes; Anatidae.
GUUCCCCCAAACCCAAAUCCAUUUUUGGGUCCCCAAGACCAUUUUUUGAGGUUCUCCAACCCAUUUUGGUGGUCUCCAGGCCAUUUUUGAUACCCCCUAACCCAUUUUAACCCAAUUCCCCACCCCUUCCACCAUCCCCCUCAGGUCGUUUUGGGGUUCCCCUAACCCCAAAUCCAAUUUUGGGUCCCCGAGACCAUUUUUGAAGUUCUCCAACCAAUUUUUUGAGGUUCUCCAACCCAUUUUUGAUGUUCUCCAGGCCAUUUUUCAUACCCCCUAACCCAUUUUAACCCAAUUCCCCACCCCUUCCACCACCCCCCCAGGUCGUUUUGGGGUCCCCCGACCCCCGGGUCCAUUUUUGGGGUUCCGUCACUCACCGUUGAUGAUGGUGGGGGCCCGAAAACGCCCGGCCAACUGGUCCCAUUCCAGGAGGGCGCAGGCACCGGCGAAGGGUUGGGCCAGGGCCACCCCUGGGUGCCCCCCCAGGGCGAAGGGCUCGGCCGCCAGCGAGGCGAAGGGCAGCGACUGGAAGGGCCGCAGCUCUGCGGGAUCCCCCAUUAGCCCCCCCAAAACCUGGGACACCCCCCCGGGGACCCUUCCCACCCUGGGAGACAUCUUUUGUGUCACUAUAGGGAGGGGACACGAGGGGACCCAGAAAUUGGGGACAUAUAGGACCAGGGUGUUGGGGACAAGGGGAACCCAAAAUUGGGGACAAGAAGACCCAGAAAUUGGGGUCCAUAUAGGGCCAAGGUGUUGGGGACAAGGGGGACCCAAAAUUGGGGACAAGAAGACCCAGAAAUUGGGGUCCAUAUAGGGCCAAGGUAUUGGGGUCAAGGGGGACUGAGAUUUUGGGGACAAGAGAACCCAUAAAUUGGGGACAUAUAGGACCCAUAAUUCGGGGACAUAUAGGACCGAGAUAUUGGGGACAAGCCCAACCCAAGCGUUCGGGAACAACGGGGACCCGAAUUUUUUGGGGACGCCGUACCGGACACGAGGCAGUCGAAGU